Molecule: unclassified non-coding RNA, 293 nt
Organism: Callithrix jacchus (white-tufted-ear marmoset)
Lineage: Eukaryota; Metazoa; Chordata; Mammalia; Primates; Cebidae
Rfam family: Metazoan signal recognition particle RNA
About the family: The signal recognition particle (SRP) is a universally conserved ribonucleoprotein. It is involved in the co-translational targeting of proteins to membranes.
Source: Ensembl
GCCGGCGCGGUGGUGUGUGCCUGUAGUCCCAGCUACUUGGGAGGCUGAGGUGGGAAGAUCGCUUGGGUCCAGGAGUUCUGGGCUGUAGUGCACUAUGCCAAUCCCGUGUCCGCACUAAGUUCAGGAUCAAUACGGUGACCUUCCGGGAGCGGGGGACCACCAGGUUGCCUAAGGAGGGGUGAACUGGCUCAGGUUGGAAACGGAGCAGGUCAAAACUCCCGUGCUGAUCAUUAGUGGGAUGGCGCCUAUAAAUAGCCACUGCACUCCAGCCUGGACAACAUUGCCAGACUCUU